AUUGAACGCUGGCGGCAGGCUUAACACAUGCAAGUCGAGCGGGGGAAGGUAGCUUGCUACCGGACCUAGCGGCGGACGGGUGAGUAAUGCUUAGGAAUCUGCCUAUUAGUGGGGGACAACAUCUCGAAAGGGAUGCUAAUACCGCAUACGUCCUACGGGAGAAAGCAGGGGAUCUUCGGACCUUGCGCUAAUAGAUGAGCCUAAGUCGGAUUAGCUAGUUGGUGGGGUAAAGGCCUACCAAGGCGACGAUCUGUAGCGGGUCUGAGAGGAUGAUACGCCACACUGGGACUGGAACACGGCCCAGACUCCUACGGGAGGCAGCAGUGGGGAAUAUUGGACAAUGGGGGGAACCCUGAUCCAGCCAUGCCGCGUGUGUGAAGAAGGCCUUAUGGUUGUAAAGCACUUUAAGCGAGGAGGAGGCUACUCUAGUUAAUACCUAGGGAUAGUGGACGUUACUCGCAGAAUAAGCACCGGCUAACUCUGUGCCAGCAGCCGCCGUAA
Molecule: ribosomal RNA, 501 nt
Filed under: uncultured bacterium
Lineage: Bacteria
Description: partial 16S ribosomal RNA
Rfam family: Bacterial small subunit ribosomal RNA
Source: RNAcentral